RNAcentral lists this non-coding RNA (26 nucleotides) under Cricetulus griseus (Chinese hamster). Lineage: Eukaryota; Metazoa; Chordata; Mammalia; Rodentia; Cricetidae. The record is from RNAcentral.
UAGAGACUGGGUCCUCCUACUCCCCC